This 428-nucleotide ribosomal RNA is filed under the name uncultured bacterium. RNAcentral's name for it is "partial 16S ribosomal RNA". It matches the Rfam family "Bacterial small subunit ribosomal RNA", at positions 354 to 796 of the family's 1533-position model. The record is from RNAcentral.
GUGGGGAAUAUUGGGCAAUGGGCGCAAGCCUGACCCAGCAACGCCGCGUGAGGGAAGAAGGCUUUCGGGUUGUAAACCUCUGUCCUUGGUGACGAAACAAAUGACGGUAGCCAAGGAGGAAGCCCCGGCUAACUACGUGCCAGCAGCCGCGGUAAUACGUAGGGGGCGAGCGUUGUCCGGAAUUACUGGGCGUAAAGGGUGCGUAGGUGGCCUUUUAAGUUGGAUGUGAAAUACCCGGGCUUAACUUGGGGGGUGCAUCCAAAACUGGGAGGCUAGAGUGCAGGAGAGGAAAGCGGAAUUCCUAGUGUAGCGGUGAAAUGCGUAGAUAUUAGGAGGAACACCAGUGGCGAAGGCGGCUUUCUGGACUGUAACUGACACUGAGGCACGAAAGCGUGGGGAGCAAACAGGAUUAGAUACCCGGGUAGUCC